This 494-nucleotide ribosomal RNA is filed under the name uncultured bacterium. Its description in RNAcentral is "partial 16S ribosomal RNA". It matches the Rfam family "Bacterial small subunit ribosomal RNA", at positions 28 to 507 of the family's 1533-position model. The record is from RNAcentral.
GACGAACGCUGGCGGCGCGCUUAACACAUGCAAGUCGAACGGAAAGGCCUGCUUUCCCUUGUGGAUUGCGGGUACUCGAGUGGCGAACGGGUGAGUAACACGUGAGUGAUCUGCCCCCAACUUGGGUAUAAGCCUGGGAAACUGGGUCUAAUUCCCGAUAGGACUGCAGGGUGGUGCCUGUGGUGGAAAACGAUUUUCUAGUGGUUGGGGAUGAGCUCGCGGCCUACCAGCUUGUUGGUGGGGUAAUGGCCUACCAAGGCGGCGACGGGUAGCCGGCCUGGGAGGGUGGACGGCCACAUUGGGACUGAGAUACGGCCCAGACUCCUACGGGAGGCAGCAGUGGGGAAUAUUGCACAAUGGGCGGAAGCCUGAUGCAGCGACGCCGCGUGGGGGAUGACGGCCUUCGGGUUGUAAACUCCUUUCGACCGCGAGGAAGCCACCUGGUUGGAAGGGUGGUGACGGUAGUGGUAGAAGAAGCACCGGCUAACUACGUG